CCUACGGGAGGCAGCAGUGAGGAAUAUUGGUCAAUGGGCGCGAGCCUGAACCAGCCAAGUAGCGUGAAGGAUGACUGCCCUACGGGUUGUAAACUUCUUUUAUAAAGGAAUAAAGUGCGGCACGUGUGCUUUUUUGUAUGUACUUCAUGAAUAAGGAUCGGCUAACUCCGUGCCAGCAGCCGCGGUAAUACGGAGGAUCCGAGCGUUAUCCGGAUUUAUUGGGUUUAAAGGGCGCGUAGAUGGGUUGUUAAGUCAGUUGUGAAAUGUUGCGGCUCAACCGUAAAAUUGCAAUUGAUACUGGUAGUCUUGAGUACGGUUAAGGUAGGCGGAAUUCGUGGUGUAGCGGUGAAAUGCUUAGAUAUCACGAAGAACUCCGAUUGCGAAGGCAGCUUACUAAACUGCCACUGACAUUGAUGCUCGAAGGUGUGGGUAUCAAACAGGAUUAGAUACCCCUGUAGUC
This 460-nucleotide ribosomal RNA is filed under the name uncultured bacterium. RNAcentral's name for it is "partial 16S ribosomal RNA". It matches the Rfam family "Bacterial small subunit ribosomal RNA", at positions 338 to 795 of the family's 1533-position model. The record is from RNAcentral.